UAAUAAUAAUAAUAAUAAUAAUGUUAAAUUUUUAUUUGUACCCCGCCCUCCCCGGUUGGAGCUGGGCUCAGAGUGGCUAUAAAUAAUACAAUAUCUAUAUGCUUUGAAUGCAGAAGGUCCAAAGUUCAAUCCCUGACAUCCCUAAGUAGGGCUGGGAAUGUCCCCUACCUGGAACCCUGGACCGUCACUGCCUUUCAGAGAGGACAAUACCAACCCAGAUGGACCAAUAAUCUCCCUUGGCAUGAGGCUCACUUCCAAUGGUACAUGUUCAAUCUCUGGCACCUCUAGUUAUACAGGUCUAGCAUCAGGCAAUGGGGAAAGACCCUUCUCUCCCUAAACCCUGGGACGCUGCUGCCAGUCUGAGUGGGCAGUAGUGGGCUUGAUGGAUCAUUAGUCUGCUUUGGUAUAGAGCAGCUUGUGAAGAGCUUUGCACUGGUGGGUUUGGCCAUGUUCUCCCCCUACCGCGCAAACUCAGAAGAAUCUGUUUCCCUUUCCUGCCCUGUCAUGCAGCCCGAAGCCUGACUUUGCACAGAGUUGUGUGAUUCAUUCCCUUGUUCCCCCUCCCUCCCUCCAUUCCCCCUUUCACCCAAAGCAACCCUAGGGCAGGCUGCAUCAGGCAGGGAGUGGCUACGUAACCCUUUCCUCUCGGGUCAUUUUGCAGCUCAAAAUUGACCCGCCCAAGCUGCUCCCCUUCCGACUAGUGAAGGGGCGACAGUGACUGUGGAUCUCCCAUCUUCCUCUCAAAUCCUUCCAACACCUGCUAGUAGGUUUAAAAAAAGCCGCUUUGGAAGUGUGGUUUUGAAGUGGUGGAAAUAAAAUAUGGGUCACAGGCAAAAAGAAAUAAGUGGCCUCUUCUGCAGCUUUCUCUAGUUCGGAUGCUUAUGCCCAGGUUUUUUUAAAAAACACAACCUAACCCAUGACACCACCAGGGGAGAGAACUGUGGAACUCCAUGCAGUAUGAGCCUCUGUUGAGUCUCCAAACAAGACUGGCUUCUUUUUUCUUUUCUCAUUCUCUGUACAGUUGCAUUCAUCACCAUCAACCUUUAUUACGGUCCAGAGACCCAACAAAUCAUUACAAAGCAAUACACAAUUCGUACAGCCUACCUCCAGGUUAAACAAGCAUUUUGUUCAGAAUAUAGGGAUCAUUGGUUCUUGCAACCACUGAUCAAAACUUGGCCACUGCUAAUGUUCUAGCGUUUGUCCGGUCUUCCAAUAGGAACCUGACAUAGCGAGCCUCUGAUUUUCCCGGGAAAGGUACCAGCAAGGGUAAUAUCAGUUCAGCCCCGGCUUGCUCAUAUUUUGCACAGUGCAACAGUUGCAUUCAUUUCCCACUCUUUGCAUCCGGACCUUUUACUGCAGAGCAGCCUUUGACCCUUGUCCUCAGCACAAGACAGUGUUCUGCUGCUGGGCAUGCAAAUAGAUCUGAGAGGAGGGUGGGGAUUGGAGAAUUAGCUGCUGAUGUCACAAGAGGGAAAUGUCUCAAGGGAAAGCAAUACUAGUCCCCUCCUAUGCUAUUCCUUGGGGGAAGGGGGUACUGGUUGCAAGUUCUCUAAGCAUCGUCUUUUAGAUGCCCUUCCCUCCUUCAGCUUUCAGGUGUUAGCUUCCUCUGCUUGCAAUGACAAAGGGAUCCCAGAGCAGAAAGUUGGGCAGACAAAUGGGCAUGCAAACAUAUGGGGCAUAAGAAUGGGUCAAUGGUUCGUUUUUGGUUUGUCUGGAUUUCUCAUUUUUUUCAAUCUUCAAUUCACAUUUGUGAUGGGGGGGGAGUAAUAAUGAAAAUUCACCAUUUUAGGGCAAAUUUGUUUUCAUAAUACUGACAAUAACGAACAACAACGCAACUGACAGCAACUGAUUAGCUACGUUGCACAUAGGAAGCCGUCGUACAGACAGUAUUGUAUAUUUCAGUAAACAUUCUGAAAACAAAGAUAAUCUUCUCCUGUAUCCAUCUGUGUUUAUGAAACCUUUCAUUCAUUAGGGCUUGAGAUCCUUGCCCCCCAACUGAUGUGCAAAUAUGAAAAUCUGAACUUCAUAUAUUAGAAGGUUAGAUAAACCAGAAACUGAGAGGAAGUGGAAUUGAGAGAUUUGCCUAGCCUUGCUUUCAUGUCCGUUGUAUUUUGGCUUGCUUGUGGGAGCAAAACACUUAAUAAGAUAGUGGAGCCCCCCCCAAUCUUUUGCUAUUCAUAUCACAGGAGAAAAAGGGUUAAAGAGUCCUUUGCUUGGAACCAGUUGAAAAAGGGACUCUGCCAGAGCCUCACUCAACAUCUACAUGGGGGGGGGGAUGACUUAAAAGAGCCCUUUGUCCAUCUCAGUCUGGAAGAAAGCAACCAAGAUUCAUAAUGGGGCAAGGGACUCUGCCAAGGCCUCCCUUUCUGUACAGACUUCAGGAGAGAAAUGAGCCCUUUGCCAAUAUUGCUCAGCUUAGAAGUGGAUGAAGUGCACAAUAAUGUUCAUGCUCUUGUGAUCAGAAGCUCUUUUGGUGUUCAGAUGAAAAGGCUUUUUGGGGAGCUGGAUAUGGCCUCCAUAUUUCCUCUCCUGCCUCUAAUGGGAAGAGGGGAAAUUACCAAUCUGUGCGCCCUAGCAUGGCCGAUUAAGGAGUUAACAAGCCGUAGAAAGCCACCGCCUUCUAUUUGCCUUGGAUUGGUACCCAUUUAUGUGAAUCAUCUUGUUCAAACAGUAGGCUGAUACUGGAAGAAAAGAGGCCACUCUGUACCAGGCAACAAGAUCUGUUGGAAAGAAAGCAGGCCCUCCUUUGGAAAUGAAGCGAGCUCUGUUCAGAUCUUUGGAAUCGUCAAACAGAACCGCAAUUGAUCCCAGACAAUGUGCCAAAAAAGUUGGGCAGAAGUUUGGCAGUUUCAGAAAGAGAUGAAACUCCCAAACCGUUCCCAGUUAAGCUGCUUUAUUCAAUUAACGGCAGCACCGAAACAACUUCACGCCAACGCAGCAAUGCAGUGAACAAACGCUGGAGUUAUUUUCUUUUUCUUCCUUGCCUGGAUAUCUGAGCUUUCUCUUUCCUCGUUGAGAGGCUUUGGGAAGCAAAGCAGAAACUUAAUGUGCUGGGUUACCUGAGCGAGCCCUUCCCUCCCCCCCCCCCGCAAAAAAAUCCAGGAUUCCAAAAGCAACCAGCUUACAGGUUUUUCCUGUUCAACCCAGGCUUGAACAGGAACCUAACUGAGCUCUGGAACCGGAUCCACUACCAGCUUAGAGGCUGGACCUGGAAAAAGAUCCCUGGAGUGUGUUAACCCUUUGCUUGGCAGUCUAUGCCUCUCUCUCUCUCUUGCUCCUUACACAUCUAAGGGGUAAAAAGAGACAGGGUUGAGAGGUGACAUUCAGUGAGGGAGUAACUCACACAAGGGUAAAAAUAAUGCAAUAAAAGGACCUGUUGUUCAGGAGAAUAUCCAGCUGCCCAUGUGGGUGAGUUGUCAUCCAUUAGCAGGUGUUGUUCAGUUUUCUUAAGUGGGUGCACCACCUGAGAUAUUAAAAUGUGUGAUGCUGCUGCCUCUCAUAGGAGCAUGGGAAGCUGCCUUAUCUUAAGUUAGACCACUGGUCCAUCUAGCUCAAUAUUGUCCACACUGGCUGGCAGCAACUCUCCAGGAUUUCAGAUCAAGAGGCAUUUCCACCUCUACCUGGAUAUGCCAGCGAGGGAAUCUAGGACCUCCUGCAUGCAAAGCAGAUUUCUGCCGAGCUGCUCUGAAACACCACAAGGUCAGAGCUGGGCCAAAUGUCACCACAUUUCAGCCCAAUUUGAAGAAUGGUGUGAAUGAAACUGGGGGACAGGGAGUGAACCCCUGAAGACAUUUUGGGGCUGGAUAAGCCUUUGGCCUGAUCCAGCAGGCUCUUCUAAUGUGCCUUACCUUGACUUCAUUUUUGCGUGGUAGAGAAUUCACCUGCCCAUGUAUUUCGUUUCUUCUUCCUUUUCUCAUCCUCCUCCCCCUCUUCUUUUAAAAAUAACCCACCUUAAGUUCAGCUGCCCCCAUUUCUUCCCUCAUCUUCCAAAAGCCUGGCUUUGAGUGUUUUGUUUUGCCUUAUCUCUCCACCCACAGUCUGGCUAGAUGUGCAAAAUCUCUUCCAGAAACUCACCAACACACACACACACACACACACACACACACACAAACCUACAUAACUUUAAAGCUUGGAACAUUGCUUCACGGAACAAUGCAAUCACAUUAUUUUGUGUGAUUCCUCAUGGGUUGCCUCCUGCUCAGAUGCCUUUGGGGCACACAGUUGCCAUGGCAAACUCUUUGCCUUGACCUUGGCUCCCACAUUCUGCCAGGAAGGGGGGCGGCAGAGACCCCCUUCCCCCUCCCCAUGUCCUCCCUCUGUGGGGAUUCGAUCCAGGUUACUCACAUGAAAGGCAGUGUAGUGUAGUGGUUAAAGGCCAGGGUUCGGAUCCCCUUGGCUGCGAAGCUCUCUCUGGGCGACCUUGGGCCAGUCCCUCGCUCUCAGCCUAACCUAUCUCACAGGGUUGUUGUGUGGAUCAGGCAGAGAUGAGGAGAGCUAUGUUU
RNAcentral lists this long non-coding RNA (4502 nucleotides) under Podarcis lilfordi (Lilford's wall lizard). Lineage: Eukaryota; Metazoa; Chordata; Lepidosauria; Squamata; Lacertidae. The record is from RNAcentral.